AGAGGGAUGCAACACGAGGAC
This 21-nucleotide non-coding RNA is filed under the name Arabidopsis thaliana (thale cress). Lineage: Eukaryota; Viridiplantae; Streptophyta; Magnoliopsida; Brassicales; Brassicaceae. The record is from RNAcentral.